GCCGCCUUAGCUCAGUUGGCAGAGCGCAGCAUUCGUAAUGCUGAAGUCGUAGGUUCGAGUCCUACAGGCGGCACCA
RNAcentral lists this transfer RNA (76 nucleotides) under Rhodospirillales bacterium. RNAcentral describes it as "tRNA-Thr". It matches the Rfam family "tRNA". Rfam says of the family: Transfer RNA (tRNA) molecules are approximately 80 nucleotides in length. Their secondary structure includes four short double-helical elements and three loops (D, anti-codon, and T loops). The record is from RNAcentral. Lineage: Bacteria; Pseudomonadati; Pseudomonadota; Alphaproteobacteria; Rhodospirillales.